GGCCACCCCUCACUGACCCUGGUUCUGUUGGAGGUUUCUUCGUUUUAAAAGUGUCAUGGCACUGGGUCUUUAACACAGUGCUCAUGUGUUUUUGAGUUUUGUUAAUAUUCCUUAAUUUAGUGUCAGUCAUGGUUUUAGUUCUCUCGAUUGUUUUCUGCUUGUGCUAUAUUUAAAGUUCUAGUCUUUAUGAAAACUGAAUUGAAUUAAAAGGUGAUGAUGUGAGGUUUAAUGUGUGAAUAAUGUGUGUUUGUUCUGGUGCUUCUGUUUGAACUAUAGGUAAACAUGAUUAAAAACUAUGAAAACAAAACGAGACAAAAUGCUUACAGUUUGAUUGAAGCAAACUGAUUAAUGGAAAAAUUAUCUGUAAAUUAUACCAAGGCCUUCAGAAACAAAAAGGUUAUAACACAAAGUCGAUUAAAACAGCUGAGGAUGAUUGGCAUUUUAAGUGGGCGACACAUACAUAGGCUUGUGUAUUUAUUUCCUCUAUUUGUCUUACUUCUUUGCCAUGUCCUCCCUCAUGAUGUUUAAAGAAAAUGAAAAGUUAAAAAAAAGAAAACAAAGGAGAAAAUUUCAGAUAAAAAAAAAGCAUUGUCACGGACAGUGUGGCAGACCGUGGGGGAUGUGGGAAGGAGGACCCAGGCGCGGAGCUCUGUGUGCAACAGUGCGUUUAUUUACAGUGUAUGGAAAAAACAACAAUAAAUCCCCGUGCUCUCCCCUGACUCCCGUGUCGCGUCCUCCGUGAAAAGUCCGUGUCUUAGUGCUCUCCGCUCCCGUGUCUCAGCACUCCCCGUGCUGGCUGCUGUCUGGUGCUCCACACCUCUUCUGGGGAAAACAAUAGAGGCAGGACACAAUACUAUAGCAGGCAUGCACUCAAGGACUAAACCGAAACUGUAUGACUAACGUGGAGUCUCAUGCAAUGGUCCAGCAUCAGUGAGCGCUCCAUCAGUCUCUUAAAUAGCUCCCCCGACGAGCCUGAUCAGCAGCAGGUGUGUGUGGGGCUUCAGGUGUGGCCAAUCCUCUAGCAGGACCACACCCAUCAGGCCUGCAGGUGCUUGACA
Long non-coding RNA from Astatotilapia calliptera (eastern happy), 1058 nucleotides. The record is from Ensembl. Lineage: Eukaryota; Metazoa; Chordata; Actinopteri; Cichliformes; Cichlidae.